GACGAACGCUGGCGGCGUGCUUAACACAUGCAAGUCGAACGAUGAUGCCCAGCUUGCUGGGCGGAUUAGUGGCGAACGGGUGAGUAACACGUGAGUAACCUGCCCCUGACUCUGGGAUAAGCGUUGGAAACGACGUCUAAUACUGGAUAUGAUCGCCGACCGCAUGGUCUGGUGGUGGAAAGAUUUUUUGGUUGGGGAUGGACUCGCGGCCUAUCAGCUUGUUGGUGAGGUAAUGGCUCACCAAGGCGACGACGGGUAGCCGGCCUGAGAGGGUGACCGGCCACACUGGGCCUGCGACACGGCCCAGACUCCUACGGGAGGCAGCAGUGGGGAAUAUUGCACAAUGGGCGAAAGCCUGAUGCAGCAACGCCGCGUGAGGGAUGACGGCCUUCGGGUUGUAAACCUCUUUUAGUAGGGAAGAAGCGAAAGUGACGGUACCUGCAGAAAAAGCACCGGCUAACUACGUG
This 467-nucleotide ribosomal RNA is filed under the name uncultured bacterium. Its description in RNAcentral is "partial 16S ribosomal RNA". It matches the Rfam family "Bacterial small subunit ribosomal RNA", at positions 28 to 507 of the family's 1533-position model. The record is from RNAcentral.